Molecule: RNA transcript, 3289 nt
Organism: Physcomitrium patens
Lineage: Eukaryota; Viridiplantae; Streptophyta; Bryopsida; Funariales; Funariaceae
Gene name: acyl-CoA-binding domain-containing protein 1
Source: RefSeq, a predicted model, not a curated record
GUGACGCAUUUGUGCAAUGGACUGGUUGUGCCGAAUGCUCACCAAAUGCUGCGGCUAGGUAAGCAGAUUAGGCUUAGCAGAACCGACUGAAAAGUGCAUUUGAUAUUUUCUUGAGGGACUGUUGUCGAAACACAGGUUCUUCACUACAAACAAAGAUGGCAUUAUCGCUGGUUUCAUGGAUUGAAGACACCCCUCAUCCACAUCACAAAUUUAGCACAUAUCCUUUGGAACAUCUGCAACACUGUCGCUAGCGGUAACUAAUAUGUCUCUUAGCACAAGUUGUAUUACGAUUGGGGAAGGUCAGCUUCGCACACGCUACCAAAGAUUAUUUCAGAAAUCGAGGGUUAUGUUUUUCUUCUCGCGAAUAGACGCUCUGAAAAAUUAUUCAAUUCUGAUUGGAAUUGUGGGAGCCUGGAGUGGUGGGUCUCAAUUCGGAGAUCGGUAGAGGAGGAAUGGCGCAGAAGUAGAGGCAACUUGUAUCUAGCCCGGUGACCGGAGACCUCGAACUGCGGCGAAGAUUGGCAGCUGGCCUGCAAGCCUGAAUGCAAACCAGCGACCGCGAGAUGGAAUGGGCGGCAGCUGCCGACUGAAGCAGGAAUGACCGAGAGUACCUGGAGAAUCGCGGUGACUGAUAAGUACAGGGACGGUCGCAGGAGACUUUGCUUGCAGAACACCCUGCGUCCUUCAUUUUACGACGCGAAUUUCUCCAUGCUCGCCUUGGCAGUGAUCUCGUCCUGCGAUGCUCCAUGUUUUGGCCCGGAAUAUGCCGGGAUUGGUCAAGAACUGCGUCAAUUUGAUGCUCCUGGGCCCUUCUUCUCUGUCUUUGGGAUUGCUUUUAUCUUUUUUUGGGUCGGACGGGGGGCCGCCUUGGCAACCCACCCCCCGCACCGUCCCCUCUCCAGUUUACCGUUAAGAGAAAUUUGUAGCUGCUGAAUGCGGCGUGCAAUUUGCGAAGAGUCAGUGUCGUGUGGGUCAGAGUGCCUGAAUCAAGUGCAACUUCUCAUUUGCUUGGAGUGGAUUGUAAGGAUUGGGCAGGAUUUCACGUUACCUGUUGCUAAGGGGAGUGAUUUUUGGUGUUUUUUAUGCCAUUCCUAGUGACGAGGGCCGCGGUUGUUGCUGCAAAUUGACGCCGAUGUGGAUUUACUCUAUCGGAUCCAACCGAGAAAGGGAAAGCGUAAGAUGAGAUGCGGAUUGCUUUGUAGGCGCUUCCGUGCUUUCGAGUCGUUGCUGCGAGACUUCAGUUAGGUUGCACGUCGUGCUUUUUUUCCAGAACAGUUUGGUCGGGAACUAGAACGGAGAUAUGACGGGAUCGGGGAUUCACUGAGAAGAAGGGAGCGGAAGAGUCUAAUUGUUUUGAUCUUCCUCGCCCUGAUUUGUAACACGUUCCAUCUGGUGCGGCUUCUUUCUCUCUGAAUUUGAGAUACAUUUCACCAACAGCAAGUGCCCAAUAUCCUCUCGUAUUUGGGGUUGUGACGAUUGUAUGUGCUGGACGUGAAAGGAAAGGCAUUGCGGGAGGUUAAUUCUUGAAGAGAGACCCCUGCUUGAAAGUCGCCCACAGCCAUGGCGGACUGGGAGUGGCAGGAUGCUGUGCAGUCUCUUAUCAUAGGUAUUGUUUUUGCUUAUAUGUGUGGAAGGCUCUUCACACUUAUAUCAUCUAUUCGUGAUCAGAAAUUUCGACUUGAGCGGGGCGGAGAGAACGCAGCGGCUCCUCUCUUUACCACCACCUUUGACGAACAGGAAUAUGCUCCUGCAGCUGAGCUUAAUGUUCCUUAUGCCCCCAUUGAGGAGGAAUUAGAUGCCUUCGAUGGAGGGGACGAACAAGUGGCUCAUGGCUAUGACUCAUCCUCUUCGUCCUCUGAUUCUGACUACGGUAUCGAACGUUCCCACUAUCUUCUCGCUACCGAUUCUCCAUCGUAUUCGAAGAUUACAUCUGAGACUGAUGGGGACCAAGCCAAAAAUAUAAUCGAGGACACGACAUCCGCUCAGAAAUUGGAUGACAGAGUUGAUGUCUCUGACAAGGACUCUUCGAAAGUCCUAGCUGAUGAGGAGCGUGAGGAUGUGGCUGAAGAAAUUGAGGAAGGGAAUGUAACAGAUGAUUGGGAAGGUGUGGAAAGUACUGAGCUGGAGGAGCUUUUUGGAGCUGCUUCUACGUAUGUUGCAUCUGUGAUUAAUGUACCAGGUGCUAAGUCUUCAAGGGAAGAGAUGCUUCAGUUGUAUGCAUACUACAAAAUAGCCACUGAAGGGCCUUGCUCUACCCCUCAGCCAUCAGCUUUUCAACCCACUGCCCGUGCUAAAUGGAUUGCGUGGCAGAAGCUUGGAAAUAUGUCUCAAGAGGAGGCUAUGCAAAAAUAUGUUGCUGUUUUGACUGCAAUUGAUCCCACUUGGCAUCAGAGUCAUCAAAAGGGUAAAGAUUCAUCUGUAGAAGCAACAGAGGAGCUAGAGGGAGCCUUCUUACACUCUAGCAGUAAGAAUAUGAACCCGGGUCCAGCUUUUAGCUCCCUGGCCGCAACUGAUGAUGUUGAAGGGACAAGUACCAUGGAUGCACUUCAUACAUGUGCUAGAGAUGGAGAUUUGCAAGGUCUUUCCAAGCUUCUGGAACAAGGCCGUUCUAUUGAUGUGAAGGUAUGCUUGUCAUGAAUGCAGACAGUGAUGGUCUUACACCUUUGAUUUGGGCAGUAGACCGUGGCAAUGUGAGUGCUAUGGAGGUUCUUGUAGCCAAGGGUGCGGAAAUUGAUACUAAGGAUGUAGAGGGGCAGACAGCAUUACAUCACGCGAUACUUAGCAAUCAGGAAGAGGUUGCGAAGUACCUAUUUGAGCAUGGAGCUAACAUCAACAUAGCUGACAAAGACGGCAACACUCCACUUAGUCAGUGUCCUGCUCACUGGCAGUGGUUGCAGCGUACUACAGGCUAGUGUGGCACUUUUCAGUGUGACACAACUCGAUUCCAUCUUUGAAUCAUCUCUGUUGGAUAGCGUCUAUGUACGGAAGAUGAAACCUAGAUUUUCCUUUCCUCCGUCCUACUGUUGAGCGUAGUAGCGUCAUUCUUGUAAGUUUUGCUGCUUAACUUCUCGACGUAAAGUAUUUCCUUCUAAAUCAAAGGAAAGUUUGCAGAUAAUGUAUUGUUAUUUAUAUGACAGUUUGUUGUGUAACAGUCCUAUCGAUGUAGUACUUUUUUCUUACAAUGCUGGUGACGAGUUUGAUUAUACUCAUAAUGUUUUACUACUCCUUGUUAGGGACAGUCAUAAUCAGGACAAUAUUAUUUUUAAUUAGUGAUGUUUUAUUGUGUGUA